RNAcentral lists this ribosomal RNA (254 nucleotides) under uncultured bacterium. RNAcentral's name for it is "partial 16S ribosomal RNA". It matches the Rfam family "Bacterial small subunit ribosomal RNA", at positions 524 to 776 of the family's 1533-position model. The record is from RNAcentral.
UACAGAGGGUGCGAGCGUUAAUCGGAAUUACUGGGCGUAAAGCGCGCGCAGGCGGCCUUUUAAGUCUGACGGUGAAAUGCCGGGGCUCAACCCCGUGCCCGCCGGAGAUACUGGGAGGCUGGAGACGAGUAGAGGCAAGCGGAAUUCCGGGUGUAGCGGUGGAAUGCGUAGAGAUCCGGAAGAACACCGGAGGCGAAGGCGGCUUGCUGGGCUCGGUCUGACGCUGAGGCGCGAAAGCGUGGGGAGCGAACAGG